This 8544-nucleotide long non-coding RNA is filed under the name Gallus gallus (chicken). RNAcentral's name for it is "lncRNA (ENSGALG00010006348.1)". Lineage: Eukaryota; Metazoa; Chordata; Aves; Galliformes; Phasianidae. The record is from RNAcentral.
GUCAGGUUUCCAUAGGAAACCAUGCUGUUGGAAGCUGAUUCUUCCAGAGGUCUAACACUAGCCUCUGUAAGUCAGGAAGGCAGCUUAGCAGGCCCACUGGGAAGUAGCAGAUGGAUAGGAAAAUGACAUGCUUUCCAAAAGUAUUUAAAUAUCAACUCUCUUUUGUUACAGCUGUGUAAGAGCCAUAUAAAAUCAAGUAACAUGUAGGAGAGAAAAGGGGUCAUGAAGGAGGAGUUUGAGCAAAAAGUAAUGCUAAAAAAGAAAAAAAAAUCCAUUGCAAAUGGACACAAUUGCAACAGAAUUUUCCUUGAAUCAACGGAGGACUAUUACUUGAUGAGAUCAUUGUUUUCAGACAAUGAUUUAUGGGCAGCUGGAAUUUGCAUGCAUUGCUCCGAAUCUGUGGAAGAAUCUAUGUGGUUGUUCAUGGCCUUCAGAAACAUGGAUGCUGCAAAGCAGAGCUAUGGAGAAUAUGGAAAGCAGGCUCAAAAAGCAUCUGCAAACCUGUGCCAAUAUUACUGCCUCUGUCAUCAAGCAAUGGAAAGGUUUUUCUAGUUAAAUUCAAGUAAUUAAAUCUCCCUGCUCUCAUUAAAAAAAAUACAACUGUCUGCUGCUGGUCUGAAGAAUUGCACAGAGUGAACGUAAAUUUUAAUUUCAUGGUGCAAGUGUUAAAUUAUUGCCAUCUAAGCUGUCUGCCAGUGUUACAUGAAAUCCCACCACAUUUUAAUAAUUCUCCCUUUGUUUUGGAUGGAAAUACCACGUGUUGUGAUUUGGAAGUUUUUAUGUGCAAUUAGAGCCCUGAGAACUACAACAUAAUCACAUUCAAUUCACCUAAUUGGACAGCGAGGAAACUGUCAUUUCUGAAAUGGUUUGUGUCUUUUGGAAUGUCUGUGUGUAUACACAUGUGUAUAAAAUGAAACAUUUUCUCACCCAUCCUGUGUUAAAAUGUAAUAGAAACUCCUGCUAACUGAAGUUGAAGACAUAGCUGGGUGUUCUUUAGUAACCUCAAAACAUAUACGUGUGCGUGUAAAUAAAAAACUGUCCUUCUAAACACAAGGAUCCUUCCCUCGUACUUACUUUGCAACAUCUUAGUAAGGAUUUGCCAUCAAUUCCCUCUCUUUACAGUGCAUUUGAUGACAUUUUACAGAUCAUCAUACUAAAUAAGUAAGAACCAUCCUCUCUGAUUUAGAAGAAAAACCUUUAUUUAUUUCAAUUUAUUUUGGGAGUUCAGAAGUAAUGACAAACUUGACAAUCUUCAUGACAAACAUGAUAAUCUUCACAUCACUUUAAGCUGUGUGACCAAAAAGCCAUUAGCUUCACAGAAACAGACAAUACAUUUCAUCCUGAAACAACACUUAUGAUCAACAUUUAUGCAAUCUAUAGGUACUUCCUAUAUUUGUAUCAAUGCAAGUAAGAAGACAUGGAGUAUCAAACCAGCAAGGGCUUAGAAAUAUCAAGCCCAAGAGUUUACCCAUUUACUUCAGUGGAAAAUAGUGCUAGUAAAUAUCAAUACAUAUUUUAAUCUUUUAUUUCAGUAAUUUCCAUGUAAAAGCAAACAUAUUCUGCCAACUUUAUUCAUUGUCUUUGAUCUUUUUUUGAAGCAUAUUAUGAUAGAUUUCUGAAUCUUUUAAUUCAAUGUUGAAGUAGAUAUUAAGUAUAUCACAACACCAAUCCACACUAAAUAGAACUUUUGUUUUUUGUUCUUUUGCUGAAAUGUCUGACAGUAUUUCAAGAAUAAUUUAAUUAUGAACUUUAUAUUAACAAAAGACAAGUGAUUUUUUAUUCCAUUCAGUGUGGAAUAAGAUACUACCUAUAUUUGUUAAGCCCUGUGUAUCAACCAGAAUUUGCAAAGGGAAGUUAUCAACUUCAGAUACUCAUUCUCCAUUUCCCAUAAAUAUGUUAAAAAUACAAAGUCAGCUCCUAAGUUUUUCAUCAAAUAAACUAGCUUAUUAAGAUUAAGUGGCCUGAAACCACCAUCUGUGAGUUCACAUUUAUAUCUAGAAAACCUGUAUAAUCAUGUGUAUUGAGAGUAAGGCUUAGUGUUGGAAGGCCCAACCUUGUAAACAAGCUUUGUUUACACAAGAAGACAAUAGGACUCUUCUUUUGUUUCAGAGUUUACAUGUUCAGAGGCUGAGAUCACUAUUUUUGAAAUGUGAUGAUGGGAAUACAAAGUAAUUACCUUUAUGAAGGUUUUACAAAGAAUCCUGUAAGUAAAGCCCAUGACAGAAAUAUAUAGUGUCUCCAAAGAAACAAUUAUGAUGUAUUGUGUUUGAAUAAUAACUCAGAAUGUUUUAUCAUCAUCUGUUUACAUAAUAAGUCAUAAUAACUUUUCAAAAUAUGGUGCUUGCAUUUUUAUUAUUGUUUUAAGUGUACAUAGGGGAAUUACUACAGCCUAGAAUCAUAAACUUUGUAAAACUUUGUUGAAGACUGCAUUUUUAUUCCCAUCCUCUUCUGCUCAAACAAAAAUGUAAAGGAAACAACACACAAAUAAAAGUACGCUAAAAUAAUCCCGUGUGUCUGGCUAAAAGAAAAGACAGGAAAUUCUUAAAAGUGUGGUUAUAAACUGAAAAAUGCCUUUAAACAUGGCUUCCUACUGUCUCACAUUUAUAUAUUCAUAAUUAUUUCACUAUCAAUAUUUUCUUUGCUUAUAUGUACACAAAUUACAUUAUUCAACAUGCCAAGACCACAUUCUCAGUCUGAUAUCUGGAAUACAAAGCCCUGUUGUCACUGGCUUCUACUACAGUGUUAAAGAUGGAACUGAGAGAAAUUCCUAGAUUCCCUCUCCUGGAAACUUUAUGAUUUAAGCCUACUUCUGACCUUUAGCAAUAUUUCCUUGAGGAGACUGAGGUCCAAAUUAAACUUUCAGGAAUUACAAGAGAAAUUUCAAUGAACUCUAGAGAUGCCAGAAAGACAAAUGACAAAAGUAGUUAAAGCAAAAGUGCUGAGCACGUCUUAAGUGCUUCAAUUAGAACUCUUGUUCCCCACAGGAUGUUCCAGAAAGGUGUAGAGGUGCUCACAGACCCUCACAAUGGUUUCAGACAUCUAGCCCACAAAGUAGAAUCCAAAGCCAAGAUUAGAGAGCUGUUACCUACAGAGAACAGAUGAUGUUAUGUGAGAGGACUAACAAAGUAGAAACAUUAUGGAGUUAUCUAGAAUCUAACUCAUAAUUUUGAAAGUCAGAUAAUGCCAACCUAUGUAGUUGAGGCACUCUGUCACAGUGGAAGACUGUGGUUAUUUCCAUCCACUCAGUGUCCACAGACCAUCAAGGUAAUUCAAUUUUUGUUUCAAAGGCUCCGUUUUUUUAAAAAAACAUAACCACUGUUGAAGAUGAGAUGUUAAUAAUGGAACAUAGGAUUAUUCUUAGUUCUACUAUUUACUGAAAAAUAGACAUACAAACUGUGUGGGGCAAAGACAAAGGCCAGAAUCCUGCUUGCUCCAUAAAAAUUGUUUCCUUCCUCAUUUAUCUCCUUGAAUCUUAAUGAGUUUUGCAGUUGUAGUGCACAUCUGUACAGCUAUGUAGACUAGCCUGGGACCCAGUGGGUAAGGUGUGCCUCCUCAGAAAUUAGAGUUUAAAAUACCUGAGGUCAAAGCAGAUGUAAAAAGUUGUCUCCUUCUGAAAGGUUUCCAGUUUUAUUGGCAUAUACUACGUUUGUCUGAGUGCACUUUCCAGGUCUGUGCUAUAAGCUAACACUACCAUUUAUCUUCUGGAUUCCCAGACUGUUUAAGUCAGACAGAGGUACAUGCCCGCUUCACCCUGAGCCCUUCUGCGAAUGGUCAGAAACAGAAUACUGUGUGAUCUCAAAAAGAUUCAGAGCAAACAUGGAAGACAGUUAUGUUUAAAUGACACUCUGGUUGGGCAGACACUGAACGCAGGGUUUUCAAGUCACAGUUUCAACAUAGACACCUUAAACCUUCCAGUAUUCUAUUUUAGGUUUGUUCUUCAUUCUUGCAUCACAGCAGGAGUUGUACCCUUUAUCAGUGUUGAUGUCUUCUUAAAAGAGGGUCUGUGACCGCAUUUGAAGUAUCUCUACUACCAGUUGUGGUGAUUUCACCCUGAUGUGCAGCUAAACUACUACAUCAUUCUCCUGUUACUCCUACUCAAAGGAAGAGGGGGAGAAAAUGAAAUGAAAAAAGGCUCAGGGUUUGAGAUUACCGUCACUGAUCAGUGAUUAUGAGAAUAAAUAAACAUAGUGUGGAAAAAUCUUUGUAUAGUCAUUAAAAUACCCAAGUGUGGCAUUCUAGUAGAGAUUUAAUAAGGAGAAGAAACUGACCCUCAGACUUAGGAAUUCAUUUUCUUUACUUUUCUACAAGGACAGACAUACAUCUCUCUAUCUAAUUUAUAUAUACAUACGUAUAUAUAAAGCAAAGCUUUUAAAGAAUUUUUAUUUAUCAUUGUAAAAUCUCUACUUAGAAUUGGAAAGAGAUAGAAAAAAAAAAAGUAGACUUUGAUUAUCACCUUGAUACAUCUAAGUGUUUACAGUGGGAGCUAAGCUGUAGCAUAGCAAUGUAAUAAAAAUAGAAAGUAAAGUGACGUAAAAAGUGCACUGAGGACUACCUUAUAACUAAUUCCAAACGUUCAAGAAUAGUAAAUGGUUAACAGUGAUGCAAAAGGAAAUUACAGAAAAAACAAUCAAAAAGGACUCCUAAACAAUGAAAGGAAACAAAAAAUUAAUAAAGCAGAAGACUGAAAAACAGAUAAGGAGAGCAAAACGGUGAAAGAUUUCACAGAAGAUUAUGAAAUUAGCACAAAAAAUUUUUAAACAAUCCUAAGAAUAAACUGUCAUUGAAGAACAGAAUAGGGAUUGUGGAGGAUCAUUUUUUAAGGGAUGAGGUAAAAAAAGAUGGAAAAUUUAAACAAAUUCUUCGCAUAGCUGUUCAGAAAGAAAUGUCAGCUCGCAGAGCUGUAGAAAUAUAGGUACAUAUUUUCUGGAGCAAAAGGAAGGAUAAAACACCUAAGUAAACACACACUGUAUGUGACAUAGUACAGAUGACAAUCUUAGCAUGUAUCACAUAAAAUAAUUUCUCAGUGCUAAAGCAUAUGCACUUCAGAAUUCACAGAAAGGGACAAAAAACAGCAUCACUCUUCACAAGACUAAUUUACAUCACUUCACCAUUCAGAUAACUUUUCCUUUUCAAAAUGUUGCUUUGAAGUCACAUGGGCUACUUACAUGACUGACAACUCUAGGACUGCAGUGAAAAAGAAGUUUCAGUGGAAUUAAAGAAAAAGUAAUGGGAAGUGUGCAGGAGGUAUCUGUGCAAAGAAGGGCCCCAUGCAACUCCUCUCACAGCUUGUCUCUAAAAACUCAAGAACUGGGUUUAAAUGAGAGAAACACCUUGUCUUUCUGGCAAGUUUUAGCAAUGCCUUCUAUGCAGGAAAGCAAUUUGCUUCAAGACCAAACAGAAAUGCACACUGGUUAAGAGUGAUAUAUUACAAAAACAACAGAGCAUAGCUAAAUUCAGCAAAUUAUGAAGCAAUGGCUAUUUCAGUGAGAGUCAGAGAUUCGUCUAAUGAGAUCCAGGAGUUUCAGCUCUGAACAAAAAGUGAUGAAUUCAAGCUUAAAUUCCUACAAGUAACCCCUAUUCUACAUUAAAGGUAACCAUCCAUCACAUUUUUAACUACAUCUACAAGGGAGUUCAGUAACUUCAGUCUAAAAAAUUCAAAACACAGACAUAUUUUCAGCCAAAACAAAGCCAGAGCCAGCAGUAAUUUUAAUUCUUUUCACUAAGUAUUGUUCUGGCCAUAAGACUAUGUGUAAAAUGGAUGUGGUUGAAGCCACAAUGGACUGUAAGGUUUAUAGGAUGAACAAGUUGCUAAGGAAGAGCUUGCAUGCCUAAAAACUUACAUUAUUCCAGCUGGAGUGCAUCCUGUAACAACAGUACUUCUUUAUUCUUCCAUAUCUUCCCUAAAAAGCUGAGCGCUCUGGCUGAAGACAGGCCAGGAGAGGCGCAUGGAUGUUUGCCUUCUUCAUGUUGCCUGAAAACCUAGUCCUUGUCUCAUCUGGGAACAGGACAGUCAUGCCAAGUGGAUGCAUCUCCCUGCAUCUGUGGAGAGACAGCAAAUGUGCUGUCUGGAAAGUAUCUGUGUUCUAGGAGGUGAGAAACUGGCUUGGGCUGUUUGAUUUCACUUCUACUCAGAGAAAUGGGGCAAUGAACUUUCUAAUAAACAGGUUUGGUUCACAGAGGGAUGACUCCACCAUCGAUCAUUCCACCAGAGGAAUAACUCAAGAUUCGAAAAUUUUAACCAGAUAAUUUUAUCAAAAGAAUAAUAAAAAAAAAAAAAAAAAAAAAAAGGACCAAGUAAUGACUUAAAACAAUUGCUGUGAUAUUACAUGUACAUAGGAUCUACUGGCCUAUAUGUCAGUUUUAAUCUGCCACUGGUUAAAUCCUACAUACUGAGCAAAAUAACUUACCAACACAAUACAUGCAAAGUAAAUAAAUACUCAAGCAACACUCUAUGUCCCACAUCCACUCAGAUACCAGAAGUGUGUAUUUCCAGUCUGUGAAAUACAAUGAUAAGUAAAAACAGUGAUUCUCCAUGAGUGCAUUACUCAGAAGAAGCAAUGUUAAGGCAGUCAGUGUGAUCUUUAAAAAUCACUCCCAGUAAAUAAAUAAAUAAACACCUCUACCUGCACAGCUAUCUGAAGACAAGUUAACAAAUUCUGUUUUCCACUUAUUAGCAAAUCAGUUGUUCUGUAAAGAAUACAUGGUCAAAACCUACAGCAACAGCUGGCACAUGUAUAAAGCGGGGCAAAAAGAUUAAGAUGAAGUAUUUCUGACAAAAAAAUAUAUGAAACAAAACAAAGUUGAAAACUGAAGCAGAUAUCAGAUAACCAUUUUGGCAUUUAUAAAAUACUUUUUCAGGACAAAAGGGGUUGCCAUACCUUUUCACUCAGCAUAUCCUCAGAGUCACAUAUUAAGCUGAUCAAAUCCGAGGGUACUGCAGUAAGCUGAAGCUUGAAGCUGCCUCCACUUCCUUCAUUUCGUUUACAGUUUUGUUUGGGGGUUGUUCUUUUUUUUCUUUUUAGCUUGCAGAAACCUGAGGGAAAAAAAUAUUUUGGGGGUUACUAUCGAAAUAGUUUAUUCAGUAGUCAAUUAACUGAAAAAAACAAAUAGUUCUAAACUGAUCUCUUAUAUACCAUGCCCCUUUUUAUAUCAUAGUUAUUGGUUCCAUUCUGUUGUUAUAUUUUACUGAAAACAUUAUGAAUAUAAAUGAGAAUAGUGCACAAAGAGCAGAGGUGAAGAUAUGUCCCAUUAGAAAUCUGCUUUUUUACUUACAUUUACUGAGGUUAUCAAGUACCUCUUUAUGAACUCUUCAUCCCUUUCUAAAAGGUAAAGUUGAAAUUGGGAAAUAUAUUGCAUCAGUUAUUGGGCAUUCUGGGGUUUUCCAUUAUUUUAAAAACCUCCUAUGUGCCUAAUUAUAGCUAAUAAGUACUGUUUAGAAACAUAGCAGAGAACUCAUGAUUUCCUUCUUCACCCAAUGCCCAGAAAAUCCAUGUCCGAGAACAAAAUCUUGAAGGUAUUUGUGAUCAUGACCCAUUCUCAUUAUCUGUAUCCAUUCUAAGAUUUUUAUAUUAUAUGAAUGAAUAUUUUAAAGUGAAAUUAUAGUAUUCAAUGGCAAAUUACAACUACAUGUGACCAAGAGAGGAUUAAACCCAUCAUUUUGCUUAAGAGCUCUGAUGGCUGGAGUAAUUGGAUGAUAGCUGUAGGGCAUCUUUUUGGUCUGUAAUUAGGUCAUUUCUUUCUCAUCCCUUCACUGUGUGUAUAAUUACGAAUUAAUUUGAAAUCCCACUGUGAGUAAAGAAAGUCAGUUUAAUAUAACGGAAGUGCAAAAGCCACAAUAUAUUACUUUUUAAAAACUGCUUAUUUCAAAAUACUCAGUCUGGCCAAAAGUUAUAUCCCUAUGUACUGCAAGGCUUAUAUUUGGUUUCUUUGCUAACUUUGUACAAGUGCUGCUCUGAAAGUAAUGCCUCCUGUUUUAUUAUGUUGGUGUACAAUGUCAGAGGUGGAUUUUGGUGGUACAUCAGUAGAGGUUGAACCUUCACACCAGUAUUCCACUACAUUUUGUUGCUGUGUGACAGAUGGCAGCAGAGGGUCAGUCUGACAAAAUGGCUUCUGACACGGAAGCAUCUGAGAAGAAAAGAUGUGGAACUGAAUUCCUCCAUGUGGUAAAAAAAUUGCAUCCAUUGACUUUCACUGAUGCUUGCUGAACAUUUAUGGAGAUCAAACAGUGAAUGUGAGCUCAGUGAGGUUGUGGGUAAUGUGUUUCAACAGCAGUGAUAGUGGCAGUGGUUCACCUCCACCGGUGCAAAUUUUUACAAGAACAGCAAGCAGGUUCUCGUUCAUCGUUGGCAAAAAUGCAUAGCUAAUGACAGUGAAUAUGCAGCAAAAUAAAGUUUGUAUUUGAGAAUUUUCUCUAUGAAAUAGUGUUAUUGUGCUCUUUGUAUUUGUUGCAGUUUCUAUGGAAAUAAACAGCAAGUAUUACUUUUGAAUCAAUCUACGUUCCUGGAUGUAUUUUCUCUCUUAAAAUAAAUGAAUUUUCAAAGCACC